AUGGCCACGUCCGCAACGGCGGCUCGGCACAUGGUCGCUUUGCCGUACCCGGGCCGCGGCCACAUCAACCCCAUGCUUGCCGUGUGCCGCCUGCUCGUCGGCGCCGACGGCGCCCUCACCGUCACCGUCGUCGUCACGGAGGAGUGGCACGGGCUGCUGGCCUCCGCCGGAGUGUCCACCACGCUGCCGGAGUGCGUCCGCCUCGUCACCGUCCCCAACGUCAUCCCCUCAGAGCACGGCCGUGGGGCCGACCACGCCGGCUUCAUCGAGGCAGUAAGCUGCAAUUUGGCGGAGCCCGUCGAGCGGCUGCUCGACCGGCUGGUGCUGGAGCUGGGGCGGAGGCCAGAAGCUAUCGUGGCCGACACAUGCCUGCAGUGGGCGGUCGCGGCCGGCGCGCGGCGCGGGAUACCGGUGUGCUCGCUGUGGACCCAGCCGGCCACGUUCUUCCUGGCGCUCUGCCAUUUGGACGUGUGGCCGCCGGUGGAUGAAGGUGCCAGCGAAGAAGAAUUAAGCUGCAAGUCCAUGGAGCAAUACGUCCCGGGCCUGUCAUCAGUAAGAUUGUCUGAUCUCAAGAUCUUCAGAGCCUGGGAGCGGCCAAUGAAAAUAGUAGCAGAGGCGUUCGCCAACGUACGUAAAGCGCAGUGCGUCCUCUUCACCUCCUUCCACGAGCUCGAGCCCAGUUCCAUGAACACAAUAGCAGAGUCACUUCGCUCCCCAAUCUAUCCAAUCGGCCCUUCAAUCCUACGUGCGCCGGACAAAGGGGAGAGCGCCCGUGACGAGGAGCACCGGCGCUGGCUGGACGCGCAGCCGGAGAACUCGGUGCUGUACGUCUCGUUCGGCAGCUUCGUCGCCAUGCCGCCCAAGCAGGUCGAGGAGAUCGCCGUGGGGCUGCGCGACAGCGCGGUCAGGUUCUUCUGGGUGGCCCGGGACAGGGCCACCGCCGGCCUGCGGGAGAAGUGCGGCGACAAGGGGAUGGCGGUGCCGUGGUGUGACCAGCAGGAGGUGCUGAGCCACCCGUCCGUCGGCGGCUUCCUCAGCCACUGCGGGUGGAACUCGGUGCUCGAAGCCGUGUGCGCUGGAGUGCCCGUGAUUGGCUUCCCUGUUGUGUGGGAUCAGCUGGUGAAUGCCCGGAUGGUCGCCGACGAAUGGAAGACCGGCAUCAACCUGAGGCAGCAGAGGGGGGAGGAUGGGAUCGUGAGCAGGGCCGCGGUCUCUGAUGCCGCGAGGAAGCUGAUGGAUUUGGACAGUGAUGCCGGCCGGGAGAUGAGGAGGAGGGCUGCCCAGCUGCGGGAUGCUUCCCGUGGUGCGGUCCUCGAAGGCGGCUCGUCGCAGCGUUCUCUCAGCGGUUUCCUGGAGGAUCUUGUCGACGGAAAAUUGGAGGUCGCUGAAAGUUCUGCGUGA
This 1401-nucleotide ribosomal RNA is filed under the name Triticum aestivum (bread wheat). RNAcentral's name for it is "partial small subunit ribosomal RNA". The record is from RNAcentral. Lineage: Eukaryota; Viridiplantae; Streptophyta; Magnoliopsida; Poales; Poaceae.